GGCCCGGUCGCGGAUGGUCUGCGCCCGUGAUUCGUGUAGGUUGCGCAAUCAAUGUAACGGGAGUCGCUCGUUCGAUUCGAGCCCGGGCCA
Non-coding RNA from Mycena epipterygia, 90 nucleotides. Lineage: Eukaryota; Fungi; Basidiomycota; Agaricomycetes; Agaricales; Mycenaceae. The record is from the annotation of a GenBank genome assembly.